This 506-nucleotide ribosomal RNA is filed under the name uncultured bacterium. RNAcentral describes it as "partial 16S ribosomal RNA". It matches the Rfam family "Bacterial small subunit ribosomal RNA", at positions 29 to 523 of the family's 1533-position model. The record is from RNAcentral.
AGUGAACGCUGGCGAUAGGCCUAACACAUGCAAGUCGAACGGCAGCACAGGAGAGCUUGCUCUCUGGGUGGCGAGUGGCGGACGGGUGAGGAAUACAUCGGAAUCUACUUUUUCGUGGGGGAUAACGUAGGGAAACUUACGCUAAUACCGCAUACGACCUACGGGUGAAAGCAGGGGAUCUUCGGACCUUGCGCGAUUGAAUGAGCCGAUGUCGGAUUAGCUAAUUGGCGGGGUAAAGGCCCACCAAGGCGACGAUCCGUAGCUGGUCUGAGAGGAUGAUCAGCCACACUGGAACUGAGACACGGUCCAGACUCCUACGGGAGGCAGCAGUGGGGAAUAUUGGACAAUGGGCGCAAGCCUGAUCCAGCCAUACCGCGUGGGUGAAGAAGGCCUUCGGGUUGUAAAGCCCUUUUGUUGGGAAAGAAAUCCAGGUGGUUAAUACCCGGUUGGGAUGACGGUACCCAAAGAAUAAGCACCGGCUAACUUCGUGCCAGCCGCCGCCGUAA